This 30-nucleotide non-coding RNA is filed under the name Mus musculus (house mouse). Lineage: Eukaryota; Metazoa; Chordata; Mammalia; Rodentia; Muridae. The record is from RNAcentral.
UGCCAGCUUGAUACAGCUAGAGUUAUCUGA